This 301-nucleotide ribosomal RNA is filed under the name uncultured bacterium. RNAcentral describes it as "partial 16S ribosomal RNA". It matches the Rfam family "Bacterial small subunit ribosomal RNA", at positions 509 to 807 of the family's 1533-position model. The record is from RNAcentral.
CAGCAGCCACGGUAAUACAGAGGGUGCGAGCGUUAAUCGGAUUUACUGGGCGUAAAGCGUGCGUAGGCGGCUUUUUAAGUCGGAUGUGAAAUCCCUGAGCUUAACUUAGGAAUUGCAUUUGAUACUGGGAAGCUAGAGUAUGGGAGAGGAUGGUAGAAUUCCAGGUGUAGCGGUGAAAUGCGUAGAGAUCUGGAGGAAUACCGAUGGCGAAGGCAGCCAUCUGGCCUAAUACUGACGCUGAGGUACGAAAGCAUGGGGAGCAAACAGGAUUAGAUACCCCUGUAGUCCCUGUCUCUUAUAC